CUACGGAGGGUGCAAGCGUUAAUCGGAAUUACUGGGCGUAAAGCGCGCGUAGGCGGCUUGGUAAGUCGGAUGUGAAAUCCCCGGGCUUAACCUGGGAAUUGCAUUCGAUACUGUCAGGCUAGAGUGUGGUAGAGGGAAGUGGAAUUUCCGGUGUAGCGGUGAAAUGCGUAGAUAUCGGAAGGAACACCAGUGGCGAAGGCGGCUUCCUGGACCAACACUGACGCUGAGGCGCGAAAGCGAGGGGAGCAAACGGGAUUAGAUACCCUAGUAGUCC
This 274-nucleotide ribosomal RNA is filed under the name uncultured bacterium. RNAcentral's name for it is "partial 16S ribosomal RNA". It matches the Rfam family "Bacterial small subunit ribosomal RNA", at positions 523 to 796 of the family's 1533-position model. The record is from RNAcentral.